AUUGAACGCUGGCGGCAUGCCUUACACAUGCAAGUCGAACGGUAACGCGGGGCAACCUGGCGACGAGUGGCGAACGGGUGAGUAAUGUAUCGGAACGUGCCCAGUUGUGGGGGAUAACUGCUCGAAAGAGCAGCUAAUACCGCAUACGACCUGAGGGUGAAAGCGGGGGAUCGCAAGACCUCGCGCAAUUGGAGCGGCCGAUAUCAGAUUAGGUAGUUGGUGAGGUAAAGGCUCACCAAGCCGACGAUCUGUAGCUGGUCUGAGAGGACGACCAGCCACACUGGGACUGAGACACGGCCCAGACUCCUACGGGAGGCAGCAGUGGGGAAUUUUGGACAAUGGACGCAAGUCUGAUCCAGCCAUGCCGCGUGCGGGAAGAAGGCCUUCGGGUUGUAAACCGCUUUUGUCAGGGAAGAAAAGGCUCCUUCUAAUAUAGGGGGCUCAUGACGGUACCUGAAGAAUAAGCACCGGCUAACUACGUGCCAGCCGCCGCAGUAA
This 498-nucleotide ribosomal RNA is filed under the name uncultured bacterium. Its description in RNAcentral is "partial 16S ribosomal RNA". It matches the Rfam family "Bacterial small subunit ribosomal RNA", at positions 30 to 523 of the family's 1533-position model. The record is from RNAcentral.